CCUUUUCUGUCUGUCUCUCUCUGCCCCGUUCCCUCUCCCGUCGUUUCUAACUGUGUCCCCCUGUCCAGCUAGCUGUCUCUUCUUUCUUUUUUUCUGUUCCUCAGUACUUUUUUCUUUUCCCGUAUCUCUCUCCCACUGCCCAUCGCAGUUUUUUUUUUCCCCUCCGAUGCUGGCCUGCUCUUUGUCCCUUUUGUCUCUCUCUGUCCUUCCGUCGUGCUCCCUGUGUCUGUUUAAUCCCUUCAUCUCUGUCCUGCAGCCCGUCGCGAUUUUUUUUUUUUCUCUUCCGUCCCUUUGUCCUGCUCCCCGUCCUUGUCUCUCUUUCCCUUGGUUCUGCCUCCCGUCUUUUUUUCCUUUCUUUCUCCAUCUCUCUGUCCUGCUCCCUAUCCCUCGCGCGCGCUCUCUGUUUCUGCGUCCUUCUCCUUGCCUUUCCCCACGUUCUCUGUCUUGUUCCCUCUUUGGUUUUCUUGUUUGCCGGGUGGCUGGGCCCGGCUACCCGCGGGGGUGCUUCGGCUCGGGGGUUUGGGGUGGGGGCCUGGCCGUGCCGGCGAUGGCGGGGAAAUAAAGCCUGAAAGGGCAAUCGCGAAGCGAGGCCCUGCCUGUGCUGGGGCUGCCCCGCAGAGGCGUGGGGCCGGGCCCUCCGCAGGUCGCGGGCACUCCCCAAAACUGCGCGUGGGGCCCCGGGGGUGCGGGGCUGCGGGGUGGCUACGCUCGGCGUCGCCCGUGGGCGCUGCAGGGUCAGAAAUGGAGAACAAGUUUUCUGUUCCCGGGGCUUGACGACAGGCUCGCGCGGCUGAUUUUGGGGCUCGGAAACAGACCGAGCUGCGCGGCUUUGGGCCCAGAAACAGAGGUCCGGCCCUGCGUUUUUGGGCCUUGAGAACAGGCUCGGCAGCCGGGGUUUUUGGCUCCCAAAGGGGCCCCGAGUCCGCUGGCGUGGGGGCCAAAAGCGGAAGCCGGCGUGGCUGGUUUGGCAGGCGGGUGGGAGGGUGUUGGGGGCUGCGGGGGGAAGCAGGGGGUGGGCAGGGUGCGUGGACCCUCCCCGGAGAUGGGGGUCUGGUGGUGUCGGACGCCGAAGUUCGGGAGGCCGGCGCGCAGCAGGCCGCACUCAACUUCUGCGAUGGUCUGUGGGGGGGAAAGGCGCUUUUCAGACCCCACGUGCCCUCUUUGAGUCCAGCUCUUCUUUCUGCGCUGCUCAGAAUAGUUGUUCAGUAAUUAAUCGCCCGAACUAACGACUAUUUAUACGGCGUGUAACUCUGAUGUUUAAUCCCAAUGCUCCAGUUUUGACAGCAGUUGAUAUACAACCUUGUGGAAAGGCCAGACCGUUGCACGUAGCUGGAGCUUGUAAGGAGAAGCAGCUGAAAUCAGCCGGAGCUUCAGCGCGGAGCUGGGGCUUCAGCGAGCCAGAACUGUAGCAAGCGGGAGCUGGAACGAGCGUCACCUUCCGCGUCACACGAAGAAAAUCCCGCGUGGGUAAUUCCGCUUGCUGCUCAGAGUGUCGAUGGCAUGUUGUCCCGUGGCACAAUCCCCAUUCCGUUCAGCGGAGUCUUCAGUCUAGGACUUUUAAGUAAAAAAGUUUGUCCUUCCAAAAAAGGACUAGUCAGUCGUUCAUAGGACCGAGGCAUAGACUUGGAGAGUCGCUUAAGUACGUGACCGGAAUUAAAGCCAACUUUCAGUUGAUGUUGCUGCUGUUGGUCUUUGCUUUCAUUGAUUUCUCCAGCACUCCGUCAUGGUUGGGAGCUCUGAAUCGUAAUGUUUUUCAGUCUCUAACACGUUUCCACCUCCCCGCCACCCCCCCCAAAAAAAGGAGAGGCAGUGUCUAAAAGUUAAUUAGUUUCCUCACAAAUGCGUCAGUAAAUCGAAUUUGAGUUAUGAUGAUUAAAACCAUAAAAAUGACACCGGUCUGGUGAGACAAUAGCAGAUCUGGACUACUUCUGAACAGGCAUUCAUCACACGCAAAAGUUGUCAGGGUGCGGAUCACCUGCGCUUCAUGCUCUGACGAGACAAAAUGCUGAGGCAGGGAUGAGCUCUGAAAG
This is an RNA transcript of Aquila chrysaetos chrysaetos, 2030 nucleotides long. RefSeq lists it as uncharacterized. Lineage: Eukaryota; Metazoa; Chordata; Aves; Accipitriformes; Accipitridae. The transcript has 3 exons. The record is from RefSeq and is a predicted model, not a curated record.